Long non-coding RNA from Neltuma alba, 840 nucleotides. RefSeq lists it as uncharacterized. NCBI's taxonomy places the organism in Eukaryota, Viridiplantae, Streptophyta, Magnoliopsida, Fabales, Fabaceae. The record is from RefSeq and is a predicted model, not a curated record. The transcript is spliced from 6 exons.
AGCGCCAGGGAUCAACAAGUAUGGGCUGUGCUUGCAGGGACAGGAUUAGAUGAGAAAAAGGAGCCACAGCCACUUGUUAUUAAGAAGUGGUUUGGUAGUAUGGAGCCCCUUGCUGUAAAAGCUCUUGGAGCCAUUCAAAAGAAAGAGGUAGCCAUAAUCCCAGAAAGAUUUGAGAAGAUUUUCCUCGCCGAUGUCCGAUGAUACUCCAAGGGUCGUCCUCUGAUUCUCUUGUCUCUGCUUGCAAUACGCCGGUGCAUUGACUUUCUUGUUGGCAUUUCAAUCGGGCGAGACCUCGACAUUUUGCAGUUACUGCAUCAGAGCAUGGCGUCUUCACAUUCGACUUUACUGCAGAAAAGCGUAUCUAUAAUUGGCUAUUAUGGCUAGAUACCGCCACAUGAAGGGAAGGCCAACACUUUGGACUGCCCCUUUGCAUGGAAUUUCUCGUCUGUAGUAGUUCUCAAUGCUGGAUAUAAUGCUAAUUUCUUGUUGUAGAUGUGGAGGGAAAAUAAAGUGUUUCCGUUGUGGAGACUGCUGGUGGUUUCUCUCCCAGCAGAUAUGCUACUUGUUUUUGAAUGUGAUGGAGUGAUUUUUUGACGGUGGCUACAACACGACCAAUGACUUCAUUUGGUGAUGUAGCUCUCGUAAUGAAUCCAAAGGUAGGAGAGUUUUUUGGGCUUGCGCACAUCGGUAAAACUCGGCUAAUCAAUCAUGUUUUUUGCUGUCAUUGUAAUUGAAAUGAACUGUCCUUAAUGCAUUAGCAACAGGUCACGUGUUUAUGAGCUUUUGUCUAUACAUGCACUCGUGUUUCUAUUGGUGUUUUAAAUAUAUUGAUGAAGUUUA